CCUACGGGUGGCUGCAGUGAGGAAUAUUGGUCAAUGGGCGCGAGCCUGAACCAGCCAAGUAGCGUGAAGGAUGACUGCCCUACGGGUUGUAAACUUCUUUUAUAAAGGAAUAAAGUGACGCAUGUGUGCCGCUUUGUAUGUACUUUAUGAAUAAGGAUCGGCUAACUCCGUGCCAGCAGCCGCGGUAAUACGGAGGAUCCGAGCGUUAUCCGGAUUUAUUGGGUUUAGAGGGAGCGUAGAUGGGUUGUUAAGUCAGUUGUGAAAGUUUGCGGCUCAACUGUAAAAUUGCAAUUGAUACUGGCAGUCUUGAGUACAGUUGAGGUAGGCGGAAUGCGUGGUGUAGCGGUGAAAUGCUUAGAUAUCACGAAGAACUCCGAUUGCGAAGGCAGCUUACUAAACUGCAACUGACGUUGAUGCGCGAAAGUGUGGGUAUCAAACAGGAUUAGAUACCCUGGUAGUC
Molecule: ribosomal RNA, 460 nt
Filed under: uncultured bacterium
Lineage: Bacteria
Description: partial 16S ribosomal RNA
Rfam family: Bacterial small subunit ribosomal RNA
Source: RNAcentral